Molecule: long non-coding RNA, 705 nt
Filed under: Capsella grandiflora
Lineage: Eukaryota; Viridiplantae; Streptophyta; Magnoliopsida; Brassicales; Brassicaceae
Description: long non-coding RNA (CGRA_LNC001311)
Source: RNAcentral
AAAAAUUGUAAUAAAAAAAAAAAGAAAUAUGAAAGGCUUUUUUCUUUGAACGUGUGGUAUUCUCUGUAUCCAUCUAUAUAACAGAGAAGCCAUCAAUGGCUUUUCUUUCAACUUCUUAAACCUUACUCUCGAAGACUCCUCUCUCUAUCUCUUUUCACAUUUUUACGUUCACAAAAAAAAAGCUUCUCUAAGUACGUGAAUAAGAAUCUGAAAGAGCUAAUUUCUCAAGGUAAAGCUUUUUGUUUACUUAUAUAAAUCUGAAGUUUCCAUUAGCUUUUUUAAAGAUAAUUUUUGUUUGAGUCCUUCCAUUGAUCUACGAAGAACUAAGUUUUCUAUGUUGAGCUUAAGCUAAGUGCUUAACUCAGAUUUUCUUAUUCAACCAAAGCUUUUUUUGGGAUAAAUUAUUGAAACUAUAGCUUAGAUAAGUCAUAAGUUUAUGGGAUUCUUAUUCGAACUAUAGCUCAGAUUUGUAAGUUUAUGGGAUUUAAAAACAAUGAAGGUCGUCUUCAAUUGUUUAUGCAUAAGAUCUUGCAAUUCUUGGUUUAUACAAUCUAUUUAUUGUCAAUUGUUUGGUCCAAGAAGUUUUUUUUUUUUUUUCUAAAUUAGUCGGCGGUCCAAUAAUCGUACUAAUAAAAUUUUGCAAUAUUUGGAUUUAACCAAAUUACAUUUUUUAAUUUAAAAUCGUAUAACUCAUUAUUUACAUGA